Molecule: long non-coding RNA, 398 nt
Organism: Triticum dicoccoides
Lineage: Eukaryota; Viridiplantae; Streptophyta; Magnoliopsida; Poales; Poaceae
Exons: 2
Source: RefSeq, a predicted model, not a curated record
GCAGCUAGAGAGGAUCAUCGAGCGCUCUUCUUCUUCCAUGGCACGCGGUGUCGUCCUCCUGGCACUCAUCUGCUGUUGGUUAGCAUGCUCGGCGGCGGCCCAAGUUGUUCCGGACGGACGCCGUGAGCCAAGGACUCCGCCGUCGCCACUGCCCGGGAACCAGAACCCGGUGGAGGCUCCGGCCGAGAUUGCGUCGCCACCACCGCCCUUGGAGACAACGGCGCUUGCGCCGCACCGCAAGACCCUGCAGCAGGCUGUUUCGAGCGUUCCUCAUGUAUGAAGCACCUGUCGCUCCGAUAUGUUCAGUUCUUGUCUAUGCAUGUACGAUUCAUGAUGGUGCCAAUUAAGCUAACAAAUAUAAGUCCACGGGACGUGUAAUCUUACGUUCUUGGCGAUGA